This 506-nucleotide ribosomal RNA is filed under the name uncultured bacterium. RNAcentral describes it as "bacterial SSU rRNA". It matches the Rfam family "Bacterial small subunit ribosomal RNA", at positions 791 to 1296 of the family's 1533-position model. The record is from RNAcentral.
UAGUCCACGCCGUAAACGAUGGAUACUAGGUGUAGCGGGUAUCGACCCCUGCUGUGCCGUAGUUAACGCGUUAAGUAUCCCGCCUGGGGAGUACGCACGCAAGUGUGAAACUCAAAGGAAUUGACGGGGGCCCGCACAAGCGGUGGAGGAUGUGGUUUAAUUCGACGCAACGCGAAGAACCUUACCAGGGCUUGACAUCUAGAGAAUCUCUCCGAAAGGAGAGAGUGCCUCCGGGAGCUCUAAGACAGGUGGUGCAUGGCUGUCGUCAGCUCGUGUCGUGAGAUGUUGGGUUAAGUCCCGCAACGAGCGCAACCCUCGGGUUUAGUUGCCAACACGUAACGGUGGGAACUCUAAGCAGACUGCCUGCGCAAGCAGUGAGGAAGGAGGGGAUGAGGUUAGGUCAUCAUGGCCUUUAUGCCCAGGGCUACAAACGUGCUACAAUGGCGUAUACAGAGAGAAGCUACCUGGCAACAGGAUGCCAAUCUUCAAAGUACGUCUCAGUUCGG